RNAcentral lists this small RNA (29 nucleotides) under Bombyx mori (domestic silkworm). RNAcentral's name for it is "ovarian small RNA-26141". The record is from RNAcentral. Lineage: Eukaryota; Metazoa; Arthropoda; Insecta; Lepidoptera; Bombycidae.
UCAUCGUCCUUAAUGUGACUCGGUUCCUU